RNAcentral lists this long non-coding RNA (595 nucleotides) under Carica papaya (papaya). RNAcentral's name for it is "long non-coding RNA (CPAP_LNC010675)". Lineage: Eukaryota; Viridiplantae; Streptophyta; Magnoliopsida; Brassicales; Caricaceae. The record is from RNAcentral.
CGUCACGUCUGUAGCCACUGUACUUGUUCUCCGUUUGCACACUCUCUCUCUGUCACGUGCGUGGAGCCCCUCGGUUCGGUCUGCCUCGCUCUCUUCUCUUUCUUCUUUCCCUUCUUCCUCUUCUUCUUUCUUCCUUUCUUCUUCGUCUUCAUUUUUUCUUUCUUUUUUUUUUUUCUUCUUUUCUUAUUCUUCUCUUUCUACCCAACUGCGUCUCCUCUCUCUCUCUCUCUCUCUCUCUCUCUCUCUCCCUCCUUUUUUUUCUCUCUCUAACCAAUGACAACUACUCUCUUCUUUCUUUCUCCUUCGGUUGUGGUGUCACGCAACAUCGCGCGACCCACUUCCUCUCUAAAUCUCCCUCGUCGUUCCCUCUCUCAGUCACAACCUUCAUCUCUCACUCCCUCCCUCUCUUUUCUCUCUUUGUUUUUUUUCUUUCUUUUUAUGUUAUUUAAUUACGUAUAUAUACAUAUAUAUUAUAUAUAUGGCCAUGUGUUUUCUUCUAAAAGUACACUCAGGUUCUUCUUUUCUUUAUUUUUUUCUUUUGUUUAAUUAUAUAUAUACAUAAACAUAUAUAUAUAUAUAUUCAACAUGGUUUUUU